GCUUAAAUAGCUUAAUUUAAAGCACCAACUUUGUAAGCUGGAAAUAGAGGGUAACCUCUUUUAAGUU
This 67-nucleotide transfer RNA is filed under the name Caecilia volcani. Its description in RNAcentral is "tRNA-Thr". It matches the Rfam family "tRNA". From Rfam's summary of the family: Transfer RNA (tRNA) molecules are approximately 80 nucleotides in length. Their secondary structure includes four short double-helical elements and three loops (D, anti-codon, and T loops). The record is from RNAcentral. Lineage: Eukaryota; Metazoa; Chordata; Amphibia; Gymnophiona; Caeciliidae.